UACGGAGGGUGCGAGCGUUAUCCGGAUUCACUGGGUUUAAAGGGUGCGUAGGUGGGCAGGUAAGUCAGUGGUGAAAUCUCCGGGCUUAACCCGGAAACUGCCAUUGAUACUAUCUGUCUUGAAUACCGUGGAGGUGAGCGGAAUAUGUCAUGUAGCGGUGAAAUGCUUAGAUAUGACAUAGAACACCAAUUGCGAAGGCAGCUCACUACACGAAUAUUGACACUGAGGCACGAAAGCGUGGGGAUCAAACAGG
Molecule: ribosomal RNA, 253 nt
Filed under: uncultured bacterium
Lineage: Bacteria
Description: partial 16S ribosomal RNA
Rfam family: Bacterial small subunit ribosomal RNA
Source: RNAcentral